AGCUAGUUGGUGGGGUAACGGCUUACCAAGGCGACGAUGCGUAGCCGACCUGAGAGGGUGAUCGGCCACACUGGGACUGAGACACGGCCCAGACUCCUACGGGAGGCAGCAGUAGGGAAUCUUCCGCAAUGGGCGAAAGCCUGACGGAGCAAUGCCGCGUGAGUGAAGAAGGUCUUCGGAUCGUAAAGCUCUGUUGUCAGGGAAGAACA
Molecule: ribosomal RNA, 209 nt
Filed under: uncultured Paenibacillus sp.
Lineage: Bacteria; Bacillati; Bacillota; Bacilli; Caryophanales; Paenibacillaceae
Description: partial 16S ribosomal RNA
Rfam family: Bacterial small subunit ribosomal RNA
Source: RNAcentral